GCCAGCAUGGUUUAGUGGUUUGAGCCUUGGACUAUAACACUAAAGACCAGGGUUUGAAUCCCAGCUUGACC
Non-coding RNA from Phrynosoma platyrhinos (Desert horned lizard), 71 nucleotides. The record is from the annotation of a GenBank genome assembly. NCBI's taxonomy places the organism in Eukaryota, Metazoa, Chordata, Lepidosauria, Squamata, Phrynosomatidae.